CCUACGGGAGGCUGCAGUGGGGAAUUUUGGACAAUGGGCGCAAGCCUGAUCCAGCUAUUCCGCGUGUGGGAAGACGGCCUUAGGGUUGUAAACCACUUUUGUAGAGAACGAAAAGUAUAUUGAUAAUACCGAUAGAUGAUGACGGUACUCUAAGAAUAAGCACCGGCUAACUACGUGCCAGCAGCCGCGGUAAUACGUAGGGUGCGAGCGUUAAUCGGAAUUACUUGGCGUAAAGGUUGUGCGGGCGGUUUUGCAAGAUGGAUGUGAAAGCCCCGGGCUUAAGCUGGGAAAGCCAGACAUGACUGCAAGACUAGAGUGCGUCAGAGGGGGGUGGAAUUCCAAGUGUAGCAGUGAAAUGCGUAGAUAUUGGGAAGAACACCGAUGGCGAAGGCAGCCCCCUGGGACGCAACUGACGCUCAGACACGAAAGCGUGGGGAGCAAACAGGAUUAGAUACCCCAGUAGUC
This 465-nucleotide ribosomal RNA is filed under the name uncultured bacterium. Its description in RNAcentral is "partial 16S ribosomal RNA". It matches the Rfam family "Bacterial small subunit ribosomal RNA", at positions 338 to 795 of the family's 1533-position model. The record is from RNAcentral.